Molecule: ribosomal RNA, 468 nt
Filed under: uncultured bacterium
Lineage: Bacteria
Description: partial 16S ribosomal RNA
Rfam family: Bacterial small subunit ribosomal RNA
Source: RNAcentral
GACGAACGCUGGCGGCGUGCUUAACACAUGCAAGUCGAACGGAAAGGCCCUGCUUUUGUGGGGUGCUCGAGUGGCGAACGGGUGAGUAACACGCGAGUAACCUGCCCUUGACUUUGGGAUAACUUCAGGAAACUGGGGCUAAUACCGGAUAGGAGCUCUUGCUGCACGGUGGGGGUUGGAAAGUUACGGCGGUUGGGGCUGGACUCGCGGCAUAUCAGCUUGUUGGUGGGGUUGUGGAUUACCAAGGUUUUGACGGGUAGCCGGCCUGAGAGGGUGACCGGCCACAUUGGGACUGAGGUACGACCCAGGCUGCUACGGGAGGCAGCGGUGGGGAAUAGUGCGCAAUGGGCGGAAGCCUGAUGCAGCAACGCCGCGUGCGGGAUGACGGCCUUCGGGUUGUAAACCGCUUUCGCCUGUGACGAAGCGUGAGUGACGGUAAUGGGUAAAGAAGCACCGGCUAACUACGUG